UACGAAAUAUUGAAACUGAUC
This 21-nucleotide non-coding RNA is filed under the name Caenorhabditis elegans. The record is from RNAcentral. Lineage: Eukaryota; Metazoa; Nematoda; Chromadorea; Rhabditida; Rhabditidae.